CACUGACUAAAGCAGCAGUGUAGUGCAGCCCUGGUCAGCUGGGCUGAUCCCCAAUCUCAACAGGAAUUUGUGGAUAUUAUCCCCUACUCUCUACUCACAAUUUCCCAUCAAACUCAGAAAACUUUAAAAAAAUAAAUAAAUAAAGGCUAUACAAGCCAAAAAAAAGAAACCUUUAACAAAAGAAAUGUAAAAAGGCCAGUAAAAAAAACAAAAAGGAACCACAGGGGAACCAAAUACUAGAUGUCCCCCUACCACAAGGAUGUGCAAUAAGUAUGACAGAUGAGCCCUGCCACACAGACCAGUACAGUGCUGAACAACUCUUCGCAUGCUUCAAGUCACCUGCUGCCAAUUUAAAAUAGCUUUAAUGAAGAGACAUGUGAGCCCCUCACAACUGUAAGCCUUUCUUUGUUCUAAAGUUAGCAGUAUUUCAAGAAUGAGCUACAUCUGUAUCUGUAUAUCAGAUGAUGGACCAGUGCUGGCUGACCCCCCGCUCUCUGGCUCAGUUUGGUUCCCUCAUGUGCAUCGAGAUAUUUACUAUCAUCCCUUAAAAAAGAAACUGCAAUAAUUUUAGACACAAGACAUUUUACUAGUCUUAGAGGAUACAUAAACACUGACUUAAAAAAUGUUAUCUUUAUCAACAAUGUAAAGCAAGUUUGUACAUCCCUAAUUUAUCCUUAAUAUUAACAUUUAUGGCAAUGAGUGAUGCCCUUAAUCAAACCCUCUCGUCGUAUUAGCAAUAAUAUCCAUAUGUUAAAGAUAUAACCUCUAAAAAUAGAACAGUACAGUGUGGCAACUCCCUGGAGUCCACUGGCUUCACAAGACCAGCAGCUUUCAUGAGUUUCUGCAAGAUCUAAGGGCAUUUCUUUAUAAUAGGGUAGAUGAGUGUAUUUUCAGAGACUGACUGAAUGCAGUUCCUCAGAAACAAAGUGAUUAUUUAAGACUGAGGUUUUGAAAAAAUACAAAUUUUCUUGUGAACUAAUUAUACUGCCAUUUUUUUUUUUGGUCUGUUGACCAAUUAGAGGCUGCAUUUGCAAUCAGCUGACCUGUAGAAGUCCAGUCAGAGGUGAGAACAACCUCAGAGUUUGCUGUUAUGAUUGAAAUACACCAAAUAGAACCGUUCUGAAUGGAUUCAUUCAAAUCUGCUCCUUCUAGUAUCAGUAAAUAUGUCGUAUUCCUUAAAAAUGUGUCUUAUAACCAGGUCAGUACAGUCCACCAGGCAGAUGUUGUAAUGUUGGGCAAAGAAAUCAGGCUGCUGAAAGGAUGAAAUAUGUCUGAACACAAGAGGGUCUGAAAUUCUUUUUAUAGCAAUCCUUUACAACAUUUUCGUUGAGCCAUUUGACAGACUGUCCUAAAAGAACCGAAUUUACCAAAGAGUGAAAUGUAUGUAAGUAAAACUGAUCAAUGGAAGGAGUGAUAUCAUCGCUCUUCCUGCCCAAAUGUCUUUGUUAAUGAGGAAAAGUGACAGUCCUAUCUGAGUCUGUUGCUUCUUUUUUGUCCUCACUUCAUUCUUAAACGGUCAGGGCUGUCAGAGUUAUGAUGCAAUUAAUUUGACUGCGCCACACUCUCGUGAAAAUGCCUGAAAAUAAACAGCUUUCUUUCCUCAGGGAUAUUGAAAAGCAAGACAUCAAAGGAGCGUGACGCACCGAAGGUGAGCGCAAUCCUCGCGUUAAAUAAUACAGCCAUAAAGAUCAAAAUUUAAUGCAUCUCCCACUCAUCACGACUCAUUUGUGAUUUAAAGCACUUCUCCAGGAAUAAAAACAGCAUAAUUUCAGAGCCCAGAUCAUGCCCAGAUUGCCUGAAAGAAGAGAGGGAGUUCGUUUGAACAGUUUUUUGAGGCAGAACAAAGGUAAGAUAUUCUGAGUCUAAUUUAAUGUCUCUUUGAAAUAAAUUAAACUCAUCAAAUAUAUGGGGCUUAUUGAUGCAGAACUUUUUGCCCUCUAAAUCAGCGCUUUUUUGAUCUCACAUAAAGGCGUUAUCUCUCCCAUACUGGCUGUGCUCACUUCUCACAGCCAAUUUAACAAGUAUAUCAAACACAUGAAACUCAUCAUCUCAGCACUUUCAGCCAUGUUAAAGCUGUAAUCCAAUUAGCAGAGUCAUGUUUAUAGAUAAUGGGCACCCACUGGAGACUUCACACCAUGUUAGCCUGCAAACACACACACAACAUGAAAGAAGUGUAAAGAUAAUAUCCAUAAUCUCAGAUGCCCCAUUAGUAUGUCUCCGUAAUUUUAAUAUAGUGUUCUCGACUGAACACUGGGGUAAAGCUCUUUCUGUAGAGGAGUUUAAAAGGCAGUAAGGUUGACAGUAUAUAAUGAGUAUGGUCCUGCUAAGAGGACAACCAACCAACCGGUAAAGGUUGCUGUGCUGGCCAACCAAAUACAGGUGCAUCUCAGAAAAACCAAAAGACCUGAAAAAGUUCAUUUUUCUUUUCAUACAGAAACUAAACUUUUCAGAAAGUUAUGUUCAUGUAUGCUGUCAGUACCCGGUUGCGGCUCCUUUGGCAUUAAUUACUGCAUCAAUGCGAUGUAGCAUGAGGGCGAUCAGUCCGUGUCUCUGCUGGGGUGUUAUUGAAGCCCUGGUUGCUUUGAUAACUCCCUCAGCUCAUUUGCAUUGUUGGCUCUGGUGUCUCUCAUCUUUCUCUUGACAAUACUCCGGAGAUCCUUUUACAGGGUUCAUGUUAGGCCAACUGAACGGCUAAUCAAUCAGUUUCUAAGAGUUAUGGCACUGCGGGCAGGUGCCAAGUCCUGCUACAAAAGGAAAUCUUGACCUCUAUACAGCUUCUUAGCAGAUGGAGGUAUGUGUCCUCUCAAAGCUAGGAUAAACUGAGGUUUUGACACAGUGGUAUCAAUGAGACAUCCAUUUUUUUCAGGGGUGCAACGAUAAAUGGACGUUGUCGACAAAAAUCAAUCAAGUCAACAAUGAAUUCCAUUGUCGACUAUUGUCGGCAGACAUGUUUUUUUCCAGUGGAGUGAGGCAUCUUACUUAAUGAUCUCUGCCUAGAGUCACAUGUGCGCAAUAGCAUCUCUGCCGAGCGUUAGGGUAUUUAAACACGGCGGUGCCAGCGUCCCAUACAGCAGCUACGAGUGGGAGUAUGUGCUUAAAAAUCUCCAAAGUCUGUAAGCACUUUAGUCUAGAAAAGGCAAGGAAAAAAAAACACUGCAAGGUUUGCAAAGCAGACCUUGCGUAUCAUGGCAUCAUGACAGUGAUGCACGAACAUUUGAGGAGAAGGCACGGAGUGUGGAUGAAGGUUAGCCUCACCUUGGUACUGUUUUACUGCUGCUAAUUUGCAUAACCUUGGUUUUCUAGAAAAAAAAAAGUUUGUAAAUGACCACAGACAAGUGCGCACACCAUCUUUGGACCUUGAGUGUGAUGCGAUCGGGAGGGGGAGGCGGUCGCGCUGGGGGCGGCGCGACGCGGCUCGGGCCCGACAGUGCCCCACCGGGGCCCUAGUUAAGUUUAUUAUUUAUUUUAAAUAACAAAUUUGCCUGUCUUGAAAAAAUGGACAGAGGUUUAUUUAUUUAUGGUUUUUUGUCUUUACUGACUGAGCACAGUGCCUGUCAAUUGGUUUUGGAUAGGACUUUUUUAAUUUACUUUUUGUAUGAACCAGCCUAUAAGCAGCAAAGUUAAAUACAAAUGCAUUUGUCAUUCAAGUACCCAUAAUUUUUGUGUUUCUUAUUAUUGCCACUUAAUUAAAGCAACCUCACAUUGAAUUUAAGAAGAAAAUCAUAAUUACCCGAUUAGUCGACUAAUCGUUUCAAUAGUCAGUGAAUAGUCGACCGAUUAAAACAGUUGUUAGUUGCAGCCCUCGUUUUUUUUUAAUCAUCAGUGAUGUUUUUGAGCUUGUCAUUUUCUCAUCUUUGUCAUGAAAAAAGGUCAGUGUUGAAUAUUUGCUGUUGUAAUUUUCAUCAGUGACAUUAACAUUACAAAGAAAAUAAAGUAAGGAAAAUGGUAAACUAAGAAAAAUGGCUGGUAGGUGAUUUCAACAUCCCCUGAACCUCAUUGCUGUGUGACUAACAAAGACAGCAUCAGCACCCCUCAUCCUGUUUGAUCUAUUGGUGAACUAUUUUGUUUGCUGCCUAAAGCUUUGGUCACCACCCCCACCCUCCCUACCAAGGCUUUACACAGAUUUCAGGAAUCACAAAGGUGCCCAUUCUGCUGUUAUUGCUGUUUCCUGGUACCACUUGUGUUUCAUUAUAACUAAACUGGAGGAGGCCAUACAAAAUUUCAUUACCUCAGCAUAAUGACAACAAAGAUUACUCACUCCUCAAACGUCUGUGUGCCAAAGGACGCAAACUGCAGGUACCUUUGGGACAAAGUAAGGGACAGAAGAGGAAUGGAAAUAUGCCAGAGAUGAAAACAAUGAAGCUCUGAGAGCAGCUCAUAUAUCACUGUUAGGUUUAAUAUCAUAAAAGAAUGCGGAGUAAAUUAAAUGUUUUCAGUGCUUUCAAUUUUCUGAUAUUCCUUGACGCAGUUUCAAAUUUUCUCAUCACAAUCCUCUGUGGUUUUGGUAAUGACGUUCAUGAUUUCAAAGGAAACUCUUUCUCUUUUCCCAAAAGAUUGGUACCGAC
Molecule: long non-coding RNA, 4565 nt
Filed under: Xyrichtys novacula (pearly razorfish)
Lineage: Eukaryota; Metazoa; Chordata; Actinopteri; Labriformes; Labridae
Source: RNAcentral